This is a non-coding RNA of Cherax quadricarinatus, 793 nucleotides long. The record is from RefSeq and is a predicted model, not a curated record. NCBI's taxonomy places the organism in Eukaryota, Metazoa, Arthropoda, Malacostraca, Decapoda, Parastacidae.
AUUUUUAUAUUAACUGGCAUCACACUAAAUGGUCCACUGAUAUCCCUCUCAAAGGAGGUGUUUAAAUGCUGGUGAAGGGCUCUUGGAUCAAGAGCCCUUCUCUCAUUCCCCAGGAGCUGCAUAAUCCCUAUGGCCUUGCAAUUCUCCAUAAAUAUAAUACAGUGAACCCCUGAGUUUCGGCAGCCUCGACUUUUUUUAAAUUCGACCUUCGGCGAGUUUUUUUUGGCAAAAUUUGGCCUCGAUUUUCAUGAUUAGACUCGUGUUUCGGCGACCGUCCGGUACCCGUCCGCCCGUCACUGCGCACACCAAGCCAGUCUCCCACGCCAUUCACGCUCAGUGUACCAUUGUUUACCAACACGUGACCAUCACCCCGCGGGUUCAUACAAUACAUUUCAUAAUAAUCCAUUGUUUUUUGUGCUUGCAACUGCUAAAUAAGUCAUCAUGGACCCAAGGAAAGCUAGUGCAAGCCCUUUGGUAAAUAAAGUGAGGAACACGAUCCAGAGGGAUUUUGAAGGGUUUGAGGCAGACCCUGUCCCUGCCGACCCCCUGCCUGUUGUGGAAGGUGUUGUGGCAAUGGGCAAGUCCAUGGGGUUGGAGGUGAGUAACGGGGAUGUGGAAGAGUUGGUGGAGGACCACAGGGAAGAGCUAACCACUGGCGAACUGCAAGAGCUUCAACUGGAACAGCAUCAGACCACAGCCGAGGAACUUGCUUCAGAGGAAGAGGAAGAGGGAGUGGAUGAGGUGCCUUCUUCUAAGAUUAAGGAGAUUUGUGCCAAGUGGAAUGAGUUGCAAA